This is a non-coding RNA of Paramuricea clavata, 257 nucleotides long. Lineage: Eukaryota; Metazoa; Cnidaria; Anthozoa; Malacalcyonacea; Plexauridae. The record is from the annotation of a GenBank genome assembly.
AGCCAACAAUAUAGAACUCAUAAAUUAGUGGUGGGAAUAUUUAGCUUUCAAAACCUCAUCAACUUCUCAUGUCGCUUAAUGUAGUUUUCAAGGCUGGAUACUAGCCCAGUUCUUAAAUACGCACUUAACUCUGUUUGAUGUAGCUGUCCAUCAAUGUAUAUUUUCAUGUCUUAUAUAUAGGUUUUGUCAUGAAAAAACCAUGUGUUUCAUGCACUUUAUACUCAUUGGAAUUCUAUAUAAUCUUACCUCCCAAAAAG